UACGUAGGGUGCAAGCGUUGUCCGGAAUUAUUGGGCGUAAAGAGCUCGUAGGCGGUUUGUCGCGUCUGCUGUGAAAACUCGGGGCUUAACCCUGGGCCUGCAGUGGGUACGGGCAGACUAGAGUGCGGUAGGGGAGACUGGAAUUCCUGGUGUAGCGGUGAAAUGCGCAGAUAUCAGGAGGAACACCGGUGGCGAAGGCGGCAUCCUGGACCAACACUGACACUGAGGAGCGAAAGCCAGGGGAGCAAACGGG
Molecule: ribosomal RNA, 253 nt
Filed under: uncultured bacterium
Lineage: Bacteria
Description: partial 16S ribosomal RNA
Rfam family: Bacterial small subunit ribosomal RNA
Source: RNAcentral